AUCACCAAACCAUAGCCAUCGGGACUUCUGAAGUGCAAAAACUUCAGCCCUAACGGAGCUCGGUUUCCGAGAAACAUAUACUACCAAUCCCCAUCUAGGUCGAGAUGUCUUCUGUGUCAGGGAGCUCAUCCCGCGGCGGCGACGACGCGGCGUGGAGCGCCAAGGAGAACAAGCUGUUCGAGGAGGCACUCGCCUACCACGGCGAGGGCACGCCCGACCGCUGGCUCAAGGUGUCUCGUGCCAUGGGCGGGACCAAGACGGCGGACGAGGUGCGCCGCCACUACGAGAUCCUCCUGGACGACAUCAAGCUCAUCGAGUCCGGCAUGGUCUCGUUCCCCAAGUACAAGGACAACACCCAGGGGCCUUGGAACUGAUUCCUCAUGGAGCGAAGCAUCUGAAUUCCGAAGAUCUGGCAAUCAGGAGAACCUGUUGAUAAUCUAGUCCUUAGCUGGGACCAUGUUACUGAAGCAAUAAAAAGAAGAAAACAUGUGUGUUUGUGUUUGUGUUUGUGUGUGUAAUUUUAGGUUUGUGAGCAAAUCAAGUGCGCCUAGUCUUGCAGACAGUAGCAUGUAAUCUUCAUUGCCUAUACUUAGUUUUUACUCCUCC
Molecule: long non-coding RNA, 606 nt
Organism: Triticum aestivum (bread wheat)
Lineage: Eukaryota; Viridiplantae; Streptophyta; Magnoliopsida; Poales; Poaceae
Exons: 2
Source: RefSeq, a predicted model, not a curated record